This 700-nucleotide ribosomal RNA is filed under the name uncultured bacterium. RNAcentral's name for it is "bacterial SSU rRNA". It matches the Rfam family "Bacterial small subunit ribosomal RNA", at positions 61 to 744 of the family's 1533-position model. The record is from RNAcentral.
GUCGUGCGAGAACGGGGGCUUCGGCCUCCUAGUAAAGCGGCGAACGGGUGCGUAACACGUGGGCAACCUGCCUAUCAGUUUGGGAUAAGCUCUCGAAAGGGGGUCUAAUACCGAAUGAUACCCAGAGGAGACAUCUCUUUUGGUUCAAAGACGGUGAAAGCCGUCGCUGAUAGAUGGGCCCGCGCCCCAUUAGCUAGUUGGUAGGGUAAUGGCCUACCAAGGCUCCGAUGGGUAGCCGACCUGAGAGGGUGACCGGCCACACUGGGACUGAGAUACGGCCCAGACUCCUACGGGAGGCAGCAGUAGGGAAUAUUGCGCAAUGGAGGCAACUCUGACGCAGCAACGCCGCGUGGAUGAUGAAGCUCUUUGGAGUGUAAAGUCCUGUCGCCAGGGAAGAAACGAUGGAUGAGGAAAUGCAUUCGUCCUGACGGUACCUGGAGAGGAAGUUCCGGCUAACCCCGUGCCAGCAGCCGCGGUAACACGGGGGGAACGAGCGUUGUUCGGAUUUACUGGGCGUAAAGGGUGCGUAGGCGGGUUGGCAAGUCGGGUGUGAAAUUCCAUAGCUUAACUAUGGACCUGCAUUCGAAACUGUUGAUCUUGAGUACUGGAGAGGUGAGUGGAAUUCUCGGUGUAGCGGUGAAAUGCGUAGAUAUCGAGAGGAACACCGUUGGCGAAGGCGGCUCACUGGACAGAUACUGAC